ACGAGAGGCCCAAACGUUAUUCGGAAUUACUGGGCUUAAAGAGUCCGUAGGCGGCGCGGAAAGUGGGGUGUGAAAGCCCUCGGCUCAACCGAGGAAUUGCGCUCCAAACUACCGUGCUUGAGGAACCUAGAGGUGAGCAGAACUGAUGGUGGAGCGGUGAAAUGCGUUGAUAUCAUCAGGAAUACCGGAGGCGAAGGCGGCUCACUGGGGGUUUUCUGACGCUGAGGGACGAAAGCCAGGGUAGCGAACGGGA
This 253-nucleotide ribosomal RNA is filed under the name uncultured prokaryote. RNAcentral's name for it is "partial 16S ribosomal RNA". It matches the Rfam family "Bacterial small subunit ribosomal RNA", at positions 525 to 777 of the family's 1533-position model. The record is from RNAcentral.